This 253-nucleotide ribosomal RNA is filed under the name uncultured bacterium. RNAcentral describes it as "partial 16S ribosomal RNA". It matches the Rfam family "Bacterial small subunit ribosomal RNA", at positions 524 to 776 of the family's 1533-position model. The record is from RNAcentral.
UACGUAGGGUGCGAGCGUUAAUCGGAAUUACUGGGCGUAAAGCGUGCGCAGGCGGUUUUGUAAGACAGGUGUGAAAUCCCCGGGCUUAACCUGGGAACUGCGCUUGUGACUGCAAGACUCGAGUGUGGCAGAGGGGGGUGGAAUUCCACGUGUAGCAGUGAAAUGCGUAGAGAUGUGGAGGAACACCGAUGGCGAAGGCAGCCCCCUGGGUCAACACUGACGCUCAUGCACGAAAGCGUGGGGAGCAAACAGG